UAGUGUUGUUUAGUUGGUUAAAGCGCUGGACUAGCGAUACGACGUCGUGGGUUCGAAUCCCAUCACUA
This is a non-coding RNA of Aedes albopictus (Asian tiger mosquito), 68 nucleotides long. The record is from Rfam. NCBI's taxonomy places the organism in Eukaryota, Metazoa, Arthropoda, Insecta, Diptera, Culicidae.